Molecule: ribosomal RNA, 893 nt
Filed under: uncultured bacterium
Lineage: Bacteria
Description: bacterial SSU rRNA
Rfam family: Bacterial small subunit ribosomal RNA
Source: RNAcentral
GUGCCAGCAGCCGCGGGUAAUACGUAGGUGGCAAGCGUUGUCCGGAUUUAUUGGGCGUAAAGCGAGCGCAGGCGGUUUCUUAAGUCUGAUGUGAAAGCCUUCGGCUCAACCGAAGAAGUGCAUCGGAAACUGGGAAACUUGAGUGCAGAAGAGGACAGUGGAACUCCAUGUGUAGCGGUGAAAUGCGUAGAUAUAUGGAAGAACACCAGUGGCGAAGGCGGCUGUCUGGUCUGUAACUGACGCUGAGGCUCGAAAGCAUGGGUAGCAAACAGGAUUAGAUACCCUGGUAGUCCAUGCCGUAAACGAUGAGUGCUAGGUGUUGGAGGGUUUCCGCCCUUCAGUGCCGCAGCUAACGCAUUAAGCACUCCGCCUGGGGAGUACGACCGCAAGGUUGAAACUCAAAGGAAUUGACGGGGGCCCGCACAAGCGGUGGAGCAUGUGGUUUAAUUCGAAGCAACGCGAAGAACCUUACCAGGUCUUGACAUCCUUUGACCACUCUAGAGAUAGAGCUUUCCCUUCGGGGACAAAGUGACAGGUGGUGCAUGGUUGUCGUCAGCUCGUGUCGUGAGAUGUUGGGUUAAGUCCCGCAACGAGCGCAACCCUUAUUACUAGUUGCCAGCAUUUAGUUGGGCACUCUAGUGAGACUGCCGGUGACGAACCGGAGGAAGGUGGGGACGACGUCAAAUCAUCAUGCCCCUUAUGACCUGGGCUACACACGUGCUACAAUGGAUGGUACAACGAGUUGCGAGACCGCGAGGUUUAGCUAAUCUCUUAAAACCAUUCUCAGUUCGGAUUGUAGGCUGCAACUCGCCUACAUGAAGCCGGAAUCGCUAGUAAUCGCGGAUCAGUAUGCCGCGGUGAAUACGUUCCCGGGCCUUGUACACACCGCCCGU